This 83-nucleotide microRNA precursor is filed under the name Polistes canadensis. Its description in RNAcentral is "microRNA pca-mir-11664a precursor". Lineage: Eukaryota; Metazoa; Arthropoda; Insecta; Hymenoptera; Vespidae. The record is from miRBase by way of RNAcentral.
UGCAGUCGAUCGAGAGUAGAAGUCUAGUCACAGAUUAAUAGUAACUUGUGACUAUAACUUCUACUCGUCUUCCACUACAAGCC